GAUGAACGCUGACAGAAUGCUUAACACAUGCAAGUCAACUUGAAUUUGGGUUUUUAACUUAGGUUUGGGUGGCGGACGGGUGAGUAACGCGUAAAGAACUUGCCUCACAGUUAGGGACAACAUUUGGAAACGAAUGCUAAUACCUGAUAUUAUGAUAAUAGGGCAUCCCAUAAUUAUGAAAGCUAUAAGCGCUGUGAGAGAGCUUUGCGUCCCAUUAGCUAGUUGGCGAGGUAACGGCUCACCAAGGCGAUGAUGGGUAGCCGGCCUGAGAGGGUGAUCGGCCACAAGGGGACUGAGACACGGCCCUUACUCCUACGGGAGGCAGCAGUGGGGAAUAUUGGACAAUGGACCAAGAGUCUAAUCCAGCAAUUCUGUGUGCACGAUGAAGUUUUUCGGAAUGUAAAGUGCUUUCAGUUGGGAAGAAAGAAAUGACGGUACCAACAGAAGAAGUGACGGCUAAAUACGUGCCAGCAGCCGCGGUAAUACGUAUGUCACGAGCGUUAUCCGGAUUUAUUGGGCGUAAAGCGCGUCUAGGUGGUUAUGUAAGUCUGAUGUGAAAAUGCAGGGCUCAACUCUGUAUUGCGUUGGAAACUGUAUAACUAGAGUACUGGAGAGGUAAGCGGAACUACAAGUGUAGAGGUGAAAUUCGUAGAUAUUUGUAGGAAUGCCGAUGGGGAAGCCAGCUUACUGGACAGAUACUGACGCUGAAGCGCGAAAGCGUGGGUAGCAAACAGG
Molecule: ribosomal RNA, 735 nt
Filed under: uncultured Fusobacterium sp.
Lineage: Bacteria; Fusobacteriati; Fusobacteriota; Fusobacteriia; Fusobacteriales; Fusobacteriaceae
Description: bacterial SSU rRNA
Rfam family: Bacterial small subunit ribosomal RNA
Source: RNAcentral